GGUUAAGCGACUAAGCGUACACGGUGGAUGCCCUGGCAGUCAGAGGCGAUGAAGGACGUGCUAAUCUGCGAAAAGCGUCGGUAAGGUGAUAUGAACCGUUACAGCCGGCGAUGUCCGAAUGGGGAAACCCAGUGUGAUUCGUCACACUAUCGUUAACUGAAUACAUAGGUUAACGAGGCGAACCGGGGGAACUGAAACAUCUAAGUACCCCGAGGAAAAGAAAUCAACCGAGAUUCCCCCAGUAGCGGCGAGCGAACGGGGAGCAGCCCAGAGUCUGAAUCAGCUUGUGUGUUAGUGGAACGGUCUGGAAAGUCCGACGGUACAGGGUGAUAGUCCCGUACACCAAAAUGCACAGGCUGUGAACUCGAAGAGUAGGGCGGGACACGUGGUAUCCUGUCUGAAUAUGGGGGGACCAUCCUCCAAGGCUAAAUACUCCUGACUGACCGAUAGUGAACCAGUACCGUGAGGGAAAGGCGAAAAGAACCCCGGCGAGGGGAGUGAAAAAGAACCUGAAACCGUGUACGUACAAGCAGUGGGAGCACCUUCGGGUGUGACUGCGUACCUUUUGUAUAAUGGGUCAGCGACUUAUAUUCUGUAGCAAGGUUAACCGUAUAGGGGAGCCGCAGGGAAACCGAGUCUUAACUGGGCGUUAAGUUGCAGGGUAUAGACCCGAAACCCGGUGAUCUAGCCAUGGGCAGGUUGAAGGUUGGGUAACACUAACUGGAGGACCGAACCGACUAAUGUUGAAAAAUUAGCGGAUGACUUGUGGCUGGGGGUGAAAGGCCAAUCAAACCGGGAGAUAGCUGGUUCUCCCCGAAAGCUAUUUAGGUAGCGCCUCGUGAAUUCAUCUUCGGGGUAGAGCACUGUUUCGGCUAGGGGGUCAUCCCGACUUACCAACCCGAUGCAAACUACGAAUACCGAAGAAUGUUAUCACGGGAGACACACGGCGGGUGCUAACGUCCGUCGUGAAGAGGGAAACAACCCAGACCGCCAGCUAAGGUCCCAAAGUCAUGGUUAAGUGGGAAACGAUGUGGGAAGGCACAGACAGCCAGGAUGUUGGCUUAGAAGCAGCCAUCAUUUAAAGAAAGCGUAAUAGCUCACUGGUCGAGUCGGCCUGCGCGGAAGAUGUAACGGGGCUAAACCAUGCACCGAAGCUGCGGCAGCGACACUAUGUGUUGUUGGGUAGGGGAGCGUUCUGUAAGCCUGCGAAGGUGACCUGUGAGGGUUGCUGGAGGUAUCAGAAGUGCGAAUGCUGACAUAAGUAACGAUAAAGCGGGUGAAAAGCCCGCUCGCCGGAAGACCAAGGGUUCCUGUCCAACGUUAAUCGGGGCAGGGUGAGUCGACCCCUAAGGCGAGGCCGAAAGGCGUAGUCGAUGGGAAACAGGUUAAUAUUCCUGUACUUGGUGUUACUGCGAAGGGGGGACGGAGAAGGCUAUGUUAGCCGGGCGACGGUUGUCCCGGUUUAAGCAUGUAGGCUGGUUGUCCAGGCAAAUCCGGAUAAUCAAGGCUGAGGUGUGAUGACGAGGCACUACGGUGCUGAAGUAACAAAUGCCCUGCUUCCAGGAAAAGCCUCUAAGCAUCAGGUAACAUCAAAUCGUACCCCAAACCGACACAGGUGGUCAGGUAGAGAAUACCAACCAGGCGCUUGAGAGAACUCGGGUGAAGGAACUAGGCAAAAUGGUGCCGUAACUUCGGGAGAAGGCACGCUGGUGUGUAGGUGAAGUCCCUGCGGAUGGAGCUGAGACCAGUCGAAGAUACCAGCUGGCUGCAACUGUUUAUUAAAAACACAGCACUGUGCAAACACGAAAGUGGACGUAUACGGUGUGACGCCUGCCCGGUGCCGGAAGGUUAAUUGAUGGGGUUAUCCGUAAGGAGAAGCUCUUGAUCGAAGCCCCGGUAAACGGCGGCCGUAACUAUAACGGUCCUAAGGUAGCGAAAUUCCUUGUCGGGUAAGUUCCGACCUGCACGAAUGGCGUAAUGAUGGCCAGGCUGUCUCCACCCGAGACUCAGUGAAAUUGAACUCGCUGUGAAGAUGCAGUGUACCCGCGGCAAGACGGAAAGACCCCGUGAACCUUUACUAUAGCUUGACACUGAACAUUGAGCCUUGAUGUGUAGGAUAGGUGGGAGGCUUUGAAGCGUGGACGCCAGUCUGCGUGGAGCCAACCUUGAAAUACCACCCUUUAAUGUUUGAUGUUCUAACGUUGGCCCCUUACCGGGGUUGCGGACAGUGUCUGGUGGGUAGUUUGACUGGGGCGGUCUCCUCCCAAAGCGUAACGGAGGAGCACGAAGGUUAGCUAAUCCUGGUCGGACAUCAGGAGGUUAGUGCAAUGGCAUAAGCUAGCUUGACUGCGAGCGUGACGGCGCGAGCAGGUGCGAAAGCAGGUCAUAGUGAUCCGGUGGUUCUGAAUGGAAGGGCCAUCGCUCAACGGAUAAAAGGUACUCCGGGGAUAACAGGCUGAUACCGCCCAAGAGUUCAUAUCGACGGCGGUGUUUGGCACCUCGAUGUCGGCUCAUCACAUCCUGGGGCUGAAGUAGGUCCCAAGGGUAUGGCUGUUCGCCAUUUAAAGUGGUACGCGAGCUGGGUUUAGAACGUCGUGAGACAGUUCGGUCCCUAUCUGCCGUGGGCGCUGGAGAAUUGAGGGGGGCUGCUCCUAGUACGAGAGGACCGGAGUGGACGCAUCACUGGUGUUCGGGUUGUCAUGCCAAUGGCACUGCCCGGUAGCUAAAUGCGGAAGAGAUAAGUGCUGAAAGCAUCUAAGCACGAAACUUGCCCCGAGAUGAGUUCUCCCUGAGACUUUAAGUCUCCUGAAGGAACGUUAAAGACGAUGACGUUGAUAGGCCGGGUGUGUAAGCGCAGCGAUGCGUUGAGCUAACCGGUACUAAUGAACCGUGAGGCUUAACCUU
Molecule: ribosomal RNA, 2904 nt
Filed under: Klebsiella pneumoniae
Lineage: Bacteria; Pseudomonadati; Pseudomonadota; Gammaproteobacteria; Enterobacterales; Enterobacteriaceae
Description: 23S ribosomal RNA
Rfam family: Bacterial large subunit ribosomal RNA
Source: RNAcentral